This 253-nucleotide ribosomal RNA is filed under the name uncultured bacterium. Its description in RNAcentral is "partial 16S ribosomal RNA". It matches the Rfam family "Bacterial small subunit ribosomal RNA", at positions 524 to 776 of the family's 1533-position model. The record is from RNAcentral.
UACAGGGGGUGCAAACGUUGCUCGGAAUCAUUGGGCGUAAAGCGCGCGUAGGCGGCCCGGUAAGUCCGCUGUGAAAGUCAAAGGCUCAACCUUUGAAUGUCAGCGGAUACUGCCGGGCUAGAGUCCGGAAGAGGCGAGUGGAACUCCUGGUGUAGCGGUGGAAUGCGCAGAUAUCGGGAGGAACACCAGUGGCGAAGGCGGCGAUCUGGGAAGAUACUGACGCUGAGGUGCGAAAGCGUGGGGAGCAAACAGG